UGGGUGUUAGCCAAACUGGUAAGGCAGUGGACUCUGAAUCCAUAAUGUACUGGUUCGAAUCCAGUACACCCAA
The sequence is a transfer RNA, 73 nucleotides long. It matches the Rfam family "tRNA". From Rfam's summary of the family: Transfer RNA (tRNA) molecules are approximately 80 nucleotides in length. Their secondary structure includes four short double-helical elements and three loops (D, anti-codon, and T loops). Further hydrogen bonds mediate the characteristic L-shaped molecular structure. tRNAs have two regions of fundamental functional importance: the anti-codon, which is responsible for specific mRNA codon recognition, and the 3' end, to which the tRNAs corresponding amino acid is attached (by aminoacyl-tRNA synthetases). tRNAs cope with the degeneracy of the genetic code in two manners: having more than one tRNA (with a specific anti-codon) for a particular amino acid; and 'wobble' base-pairing, i.e. permitting non-standard base-pairing at the 3rd anti-codon position. The record is from Rfam.